This 84-nucleotide transfer RNA is filed under the name Phycisphaerae bacterium. RNAcentral describes it as "tRNA-Leu". It matches the Rfam family "tRNA". From Rfam's summary of the family: Transfer RNA (tRNA) molecules are approximately 80 nucleotides in length. Their secondary structure includes four short double-helical elements and three loops (D, anti-codon, and T loops). Lineage: Bacteria; Pseudomonadati; Planctomycetota; Phycisphaerae. The record is from RNAcentral.
GCGGAUGUGGCGGAAUUGGCAGACGCGCUGGCUUCAGGUGCCAGUGGGCUUACGCCCGUGGAGGUUCGAGUCCUCUCAUCCGCA